This 2186-nucleotide long non-coding RNA is filed under the name Homo sapiens (human). RNAcentral describes it as "HSALNT0163254". The record is from RNAcentral. Lineage: Eukaryota; Metazoa; Chordata; Mammalia; Primates; Hominidae.
GUAAGGAAGAGACCAGGGAGGAGGCUAAGUGAUUUACAUGGAGUCACAGAGCUUGGUGCUUGGCCAAGACCCCAGGUUUCCCAACUCCCAGAUGAGGAAAUCUGUGAAAAUCUGAAAAAUUUGAUUUUUUGAAGACCCUAAAAAUGAAAAUACCUUGCCAAAGGUCACAAAGCUCCCAUCAGUUGUCUAACCCCAAGUUCAUAUUUUUUUCGCUAGACCAGGUCAUGCUGUCACCGUACUUACUUUGUAGUGUACUAAUAUAUACUUAUGUCUUACUAUUUUUGCAUUUUUGGAGCACCUAAGAGUGUGUUAAGAGAGAAACAUUGCAUUGUGGCAGGACAGGACAGUGGUUAAGGGCUAGAUUGCUUAGGUUCAAAUUCCAGGCCUGCCCCAUACUAGCUAAUUAACCUUAGGUAAGUUUACUUAAAUUCUCUGUAUUGCAGAUCUCUUAUCUGUAAAAUUAGGCUAAUAAUAGUACUUACUCAUAUCAUAGUUGCUAUGGUUUGAAUAUGCCCCCCUAAUUUUAUAUGUUAGAAACUUAAUCUCCAAAUUCAUAUGUUGAUGGAAUUUGAAGGUAGGGUCCUUGGCAGGGAUUAAUGAUUAGAUAAGAUCAUCAGGGUAUGGCCUCCACAAUGGGAUUGGUGGCUUUAUAAGAAGAGGAGAAAGACCUGAACUGGACAUGCAUACUCUUGUUCUCACCAUAUGAUGUCCUCCGCCAUCUUGACAAGGCCCUCACCAGAUGCAGCCCCUCAACCUUGGACUUCCCAGCCUCCUGAACUAUAAGAAAUUUUUUUCUUUAUAAAUUACAAGUCUGUGGUAUUCUGUUAUAGCAACAAAAAAUGGACUAAGACAAUAGACUGUCAUGAGGAUAAAUGAGUUAGUAAGUGUAGAGUCUUAAGAAUGGUGCUUGGCAUUUAGUAAACAUUAUAACAAUUAGAUGUUAUAUUAUUUGUAUUACUUAUUAUACAGACAUUUAGAAAUGUAUGAAAUGACUGCAUCUCACAAGGAUAUUAUGAAAUAAUUUGGGUAGAAAAGACAUGGCGAUCUAAAGUAAGCCUUGAAAGAUAAGGUACUAAAUCAGGUGGAUCUUAUGAGGGAUGCAAAGGGUCUUAGAGGAGCAUGAGCUCAGAACAGGCUGUGUCUGUGAGCCAUGCUGGGAUCAGGAGCAGCUGAGAGGAAUGGGAAGCUCAGGCAAAGCUGGAGUUGAUUUAAAAUGAUAGACAUAUGUGGUAUAUAACAUGAUCUACAUGAUAGAAUAUGAUAGAAAUAUAUGGGUACUAUUGAUGUCAGGGACCUGGAAAAACAACUGCCUCUGCUGGGAAAUGUGGAAUUGCUUGCUUAUUUCUUCUUUCUCAGUGUUUCUGAAAAACCCAGCCAAAUUUAUUUCAUGAAAUAAUCAUCAAAACAGGGGCAUGUCUGCAACUGCCCAAAGUGAAAUCAGGGCCAUUUUCUAUAUUACUUGUGAUAAAUGGGAAACUUUUCAUUUAAAUACGAAAAGGAUGUAUGUGAAUUACUGAUGUCUCCCCCAACCCUCCCAUGUCUCAUCUCUUCUUUAAAAAUGUCUGGGAGAGGUUAUCAUUAAGGGAAGAGUUAAGUGGAUGAUAUCACUCAAAAUCUUGUAGAUAAUGAAAGAUUAACUUAUACAGCCUUUUAGUUUGGUUCCUUGACAUGCUCCCACUGAAGACAAAUUCUAAAAUAAUAAAAGUUGAGAUGGAAUCCAGUAUCUUCUGCUAAUUCUUACCACUUGUCAUAAUUUUUGUCACAAAGUUACUAUUAUGAUUAAAAAAUAAGUCGAAGUGGCAUAACAAAUUGAAGAUCCAGAUUUCAGUGUGUGAUUUACAUUUAAAACACAUACAUUUUAAGAUUUUUAUGUUUUCUCAUUCUAUUUUCUUAUACUUUGGCAUUAUUUCUAGUAUAUAUAGAAACGGAAAAAUGAUUAGUGAAUACGUUCACAGAGAAAGCACAGGAAAUACACGGAAGCAAAGAUUACUACCAUCCUUGUUCACGCUAUAAACAUAUAUCUUUUGAAAACUCUUUUAGCCUCUGAGGGAAGAGGUUGCAUCUGCUAACUCUCCAGCACAUAAAAGGUAAUCAAUAAAUGUUUGAUAAAUUCUAUUUAACAGUCAUAUAGGUUUUGGGCCGGGCGCGGUGGCUCACGCCUGUAAUCCCAGCACUUUGGGAGGCCG